This 492-nucleotide ribosomal RNA is filed under the name uncultured bacterium. Its description in RNAcentral is "partial 16S ribosomal RNA". It matches the Rfam family "Bacterial small subunit ribosomal RNA", at positions 29 to 507 of the family's 1533-position model. The record is from RNAcentral.
AGUGAACGCUGGCGGUAGGCCUAACACAUGCAAGUCGAACGGCAGCACAGUAAGAGCUUGCUCUUACGGGUGGCGAGUGGCGGACGGGUGAGGAAUACAUCGGAAUCUACUUUUUCGUGGGGGAUAACGCAGGGAAACUUACGCUAAUACCGCAUACGACCUACGGGUGAAAGCAGGGGAUCUUCGGACCUCGCGCGAUUGAAUGAGCCGAUGUCGGAUUAGCUAGUUGGCGGGGUAAAGGCCCACCAAGGCGACGAUCCGUAGCUGGUCUGAGAGGAUGAUCAGCCACACUGGAACUGAGACACGGUCCAGACUCCUACGGGAGGCAGCAGUGGGGAAUAUUGGACAAUGGGCGCAAGCCUGAUCCAGCCAUACCGCGUGUGUGAAGAAGGCCUUCGGGUUGUAAAGCCCUUUUGUUGGGAAAGAAGAGCAGCAGGUUAAUACCCCGCUGUUCUGACGGUACCCAAAGAAUAAGCACCGGCUAACUUCGUG